CUUAGUUGAAAUUCACUAAAAUAAAUGGAUUCCAACACUAGCCAUGCAACAAGAUCAGGCAAAAAUGGAAUUGUUUUUCCAAAAGAAGAGGAUGUUUCGACUAUUGUAGGCAAGAAAAUAGCUGAGGCUGGAAGAAAGCGGUCGAAUCUACUGUUGAUGCAGUCAAGAACCACUGCAUCCUAAUUAACAUCCUGGAAAUGUAGAGCCGCGGAUUCAACACCUAGCGAGCAAGUUUUUUAAUAUUUUACUUGUUUGUGUACUGUAAUUUCUGUGUCUGCACUUACGCAUAUAGCAAAAAAGGUAAAAAAAAGCAGGUGAUGUGAUACAUAUGCUUAUGUUACACUUAUGGAAACCUUACU
Molecule: long non-coding RNA, 359 nt
Filed under: Olea europaea subsp. europaea
Lineage: Eukaryota; Viridiplantae; Streptophyta; Magnoliopsida; Lamiales; Oleaceae
Source: RNAcentral